This 323-nucleotide RNase P RNA is filed under the name Clostridiales bacterium. RNAcentral's name for it is "RNase P RNA component class A". It matches the Rfam family "Bacterial RNase P class A". From Rfam's summary of the family: Ribonuclease P (RNase P) is a ubiquitous endoribonuclease, found in archaea, bacteria and eukarya as well as chloroplasts and mitochondria. Its best characterised activity is the generation of mature 5'-ends of tRNAs by cleaving the 5'-leader elements of precursor-tRNAs. Cellular RNase Ps are ribonucleoproteins. The record is from RNAcentral. Lineage: Bacteria; Bacillati; Bacillota; Clostridia; Eubacteriales.
UCAGCAGAAAGUGAUCGCGGCUUCGGCUGAGGAAAGUCCGGGCACCAUCGGGCAGGAUGCUGGUUAACGGCCAGUGAGGGCAACCUUAAGGAAUAGUGCCACAGAAAGCAAACCGCCUUCGGGUAAGGGUGAAAGGGUGCGGUAAGAGCGCACCGGCGAUUGGGUGAUCAAUCGGCCAGGUAAACCCCAUUCGGUGCAAGACCUAGUAGAAAACAAUAGAGCGGCCCGUUCUGUUUUCGGGUAGGUCGCUUAAGGCGUCGGGCAACCGAUGUCUCAGACAGAUGAUCACUGAUACAGAACCCGGCUUAUUAUCUGCUGAAAAA